GCCCUUCCUACGGGAGGCAGCAGUGGGGAAUUUUGGACAAUGGGCGAAAGCCUGAUCCAGCAAUGCCGCGUGUAUGAAGAAGGCCUUCGGGUUGUAAAGCACUUUUGUCCGGAAAGAAAUGGCUCUGGUUAAUACCUGGGGUCGAUGACGGUACCGGAAGAAUAAGGACCGGCUAACUACGUGCCAGCAGCCGCGGUAAUACGUAGGGUCCAAGCGUUAAUCGGAAUUACUGGGCGUAAAGCGUGCGCAGGCGGUUGUGCAAGACCGAUGUGAAAUCCCCGAGCUUAACUUGGGAAUUGCAUUGGUGACUGCACGGCUAGAGUGUGUCAGAGGGGGGUAGAAUUCCACGUGUAGCAGUGAAAUGCGUAGAGAUGUGGAGGAAUACCGAUGGCGAAGGCAGCCCCCUGAGAUAACACUGACGCUCAUGCACGAAAGCGUGGGGAGCAAACAGGAUUAGAUACCCUGGUAGUCCACGCCCUAAACGAUGUAAACUAGUUGUUGGGGAUUCAUUUCCUUAGUAACGUAGCUAACGCGUGAAGUUGACCGCCUGGGGAGUACGGUCGCAAGAUUAAAACUCAAAGGAAUUGACGGAAGGGC
Molecule: ribosomal RNA, 597 nt
Filed under: uncultured bacterium
Lineage: Bacteria
Description: bacterial SSU rRNA
Rfam family: Bacterial small subunit ribosomal RNA
Source: RNAcentral